GAUGUGCCCAGAUGGGAUUAGCUAGUAGGUGGGGUAACGGCUCACCUAGGCGACGAUCCCUAGCUGGUCUGAGGGGAUGACCAGCCACACUGGAACUGAGACACGGUCCAGACUCCUACGGGAGGCAGCAGUGGGGAAUAUUGCACAAUGGGCGCAAGCCUGAUGCAGCCAUGCCGCGUGUAUGAAGAAGGCCUUCGGGUCGUAAAGUACUUUCAGCGGGGAGGAAGGUGUUGAGGUUAAUAACCUCAGCAAUUGACGUUACCCGCAGAAGAAGCACCGGCUAACUCCGUGCCAGCAGCCGCGGUAAUACGGAGGGUGCAAGCGUUAAUCGGAAUUACUGGGCGUAAAGCGCACGCAGGCGGUCUGUCAAGUCGGAUGUGAAAUCCCCGGGCUCAACCUGGGAACUGCAUUCGAAACUGGCAGGCUAGAGUCUUGUAGAGGGGGGUAGAAUUCCAGGUGUAGCGGUGAAAUGCGUAGAGAUCUGGAGGAAUACCGGUGGCGAAGGCGGCCCCCUGGACAAAGACUGACGCUCAGGUGCGAAAGCGUGGGGAGCAAACAGGAUUAGGUACCCUGGUAGUCCACGCC
Molecule: ribosomal RNA, 585 nt
Filed under: uncultured bacterium
Lineage: Bacteria
Description: bacterial SSU rRNA
Rfam family: Bacterial small subunit ribosomal RNA
Source: RNAcentral